UACAGAGGUCCCGAGCGUUGUUCGGAUUCACUGGGCGUAAAGGGUGCGUAGGUGGUGAGGUAAGUCGGAUGUGAAAUCUCCGGGCUCAACCCGGAAAUGGCAUUGGAAACUACCUUGCUGGGGGAUUUGAGGGGGGAUUGGAAUACUUGGUGUAGCAGUGAAAUGCGUAGAUAUCAAGUGGAACACCAGUGGCGAAGGCGAAUCCCUGGAAAAUACCUGACACUGAGGCACGAAAGCGUGGGGAGCAAACAGG
RNAcentral lists this ribosomal RNA (253 nucleotides) under uncultured bacterium. RNAcentral describes it as "partial 16S ribosomal RNA". It matches the Rfam family "Bacterial small subunit ribosomal RNA", at positions 524 to 776 of the family's 1533-position model. The record is from RNAcentral.